This is a long non-coding RNA of Puntigrus tetrazona (Sumatra barb), 537 nucleotides long. RefSeq lists it as uncharacterized. The record is from RefSeq and is a predicted model, not a curated record. The transcript has 2 exons. Lineage: Eukaryota; Metazoa; Chordata; Actinopteri; Cypriniformes; Cyprinidae.
GAAUCGUCCUGUGAAGCUCAGCUCUGCAACGACAGGAAAAGCAAGAGGAUGAAGACGUCAGUGAGGAGCUGAAGGUUUCUUCGUCUUUGAGCGUUCAAGCCAUUUCUUCCGUUUGUUUGCGUGCGUUUUAAGGAUGCCAUAGAAGAACCGUUUUCGGCCGAAGAACCUUCUUUCGCCACAAAAAAAAGUUUUGUCAGACAGAAAGGUUCUUUACGGAAGCAUUUAAACAAAAAGCGUUUUUUUGAAUUUAUGAACCCUUACUUUGGAGAGCGUCCGCUAAGCACUAUGCUAAAUGUGUUUUUAAAUUGGAAGAACUUGGAUCAUGAAAUAAGGUUCACACACUAGUCUAGCACAGAGGAGAGGUGUGUGUUUUUGAGACAAGCCUGACCUCUGCUGCUGAACGAAGACUUCAUCAGUGUAGUGUAGAGUACUAGAGUGUGCUAAAUCUAACAUGCAUCCUAUUUCUAGUAACAUGAUCCGCAGACAUAUCAAUGUAUUUAACUGCAUUAUAUAAAAACUGUGAAGCUGAAAUAAGAA